UGUACAAUUGGUGGCAGAUUAUUUCUUGGUGGCAAAUGCUGAAAAAAAUCAAAAGACCUGCCGUCGCUGACCUUACUAACCAGUAUUUCGAGCAAUCUGGUUUGUGUUUCACUGGUACUGCGUAUCACGUCAUGUAGUUUAUCGAUUCCUCGACUAAGCGUCUGUUCAACCGUCCGAGACUGCUCGUCAAGUCAUUUUUGAAGAAACGAUCUUGUUGGUGGAUCAGAUCCUUUGCCACCAUCCUCACCACAAUCCUCCAUUAUCCCUUCAUUAAGAAUGCAGGUGUUUCUGUUAGGGACUUCUAUACUGCGAAGCUGACCGCCGAGAUUAACUUCCCUUUAUCCUAUGUUCUGAAUUGGCAAAUCGGUUGUUG
Molecule: long non-coding RNA, 373 nt
Filed under: Malus domestica (apple)
Lineage: Eukaryota; Viridiplantae; Streptophyta; Magnoliopsida; Rosales; Rosaceae
Description: long non-coding RNA (MDOM_LNC001816)
Source: RNAcentral